Molecule: transfer RNA, 67 nt
Filed under: Rana zhenhaiensis
Lineage: Eukaryota; Metazoa; Chordata; Amphibia; Anura; Ranidae
Description: tRNA-Ser
Source: RNAcentral
GAGCAUGACUGGCGUAAUGGGAACUGCUAAUUACCCAUGCCCACAGUUCAAUUCUGUGGUUUGCUCA